CAGGAGCAUCUGGAGGUUUCAAUUUGAAGCAGCAGGAGUGAGUCAGAACAUUUUGUGCCACAGCAUUCAAGGGGGAACUGCACUUUUUCGGGGGAAUGAAUUUUGCUUAUCGUUCCCAAUCCUUAUGCAAGACCGGAAGAUAAAAGGCUUUGAUAUUAUUUUUGUACAGUCUAAUUUGGAAAAAUCGUCUCAUUCUUGGUGGCAAGCAAUGCAGCUAAUGGGAACUAUCCAUUCUCCCUCUAAAUCACUUUAAAAUGAAUCCAAAGAUAUACAGAACAAUACUUCAUUUACAUUCCGUAACCUGUGUAAUAACCAAGCUGUAGCAACAACAAUAAAUCAUCGCCUUGCGA
This is a long non-coding RNA of Nerophis ophidion (straightnose pipefish), 350 nucleotides long. RefSeq lists it as uncharacterized. NCBI's taxonomy places the organism in Eukaryota, Metazoa, Chordata, Actinopteri, Syngnathiformes, Syngnathidae. The record is from RefSeq and is a predicted model, not a curated record. The transcript is spliced from 2 exons.